CAUUUGAGUCUGGGAUUUCCGAAUGGGGAAACCCAAUACCAUAAGGUAUUACUGUUGAGUGAAUACAUAGCUCAACAGGGCGAACCGGGGGAACUGAAACAUCUAAGUACCUCGAGGAAAAGAAAUCAACCGAGAUUCCGAAAGUAGCGGCGAGCGAAAUUGGACUAGCCCUUAAGCUUUACACGCGUUAGACGAACAGCCUGGAAAGGC
Molecule: ribosomal RNA, 210 nt
Filed under: Vibrio alginolyticus
Lineage: Bacteria; Pseudomonadati; Pseudomonadota; Gammaproteobacteria; Vibrionales; Vibrionaceae
Description: partial 23S ribosomal RNA
Rfam family: Bacterial large subunit ribosomal RNA
Source: RNAcentral